Molecule: small nucleolar RNA, 247 nt
Organism: Colius striatus (speckled mousebird)
Lineage: Eukaryota; Metazoa; Chordata; Aves; Coliiformes; Coliidae
Rfam family: Small nucleolar RNA SNORD17
About the family: The snoRNA HBI-43 belongs to the C/D family of snoRNAs, guiding 2'O-ribose methylation at position U3797 of the 28S rRNA. Pseudouridylation in position U3797 is predicted to be guided by the H/ACA snoRNA ACA48.
Source: Rfam
GUGAGGUGAUGAUGAGGUUUAUCCAUUCUCUGAGUGCAGUGGUGCUGCCCUCCUGCAGCACCCAGAUUCCUGUUCUAGGCUCUGAGUGUUGUGCAGCCUCCAGAGACCCUCCAGCCUCGCAGUGUCUUACUGGGAGCUGCUGUGGUGUGUGGCAGGCUGCCUGCAGGAGGGCAGUGGAGCUGGCAGGGUUGGAGCCUCUUUUUGUGGGGCUCCAUCCCCACUGAGACGAGGGACAAUGUCUGAUCAC